Non-coding RNA from Piedraia hortae CBS 480.64, 124 nucleotides. The record is from the annotation of a GenBank genome assembly. Lineage: Eukaryota; Fungi; Ascomycota; Dothideomycetes; Capnodiales; Piedraiaceae.
GGCGAGGUGGCCGAGUGGUUAUGGCGCUAGUUUCAGGUAAACUACGCUAAGGAAUUAUCCUCACCGUAAUUACAUCAUAUUACUAGUGGAGCAAUCCUCGUGGGUUCGAGUCCCACCCUCGUCA